AGAGUUUGAUGGUGGCUCAGGAUGAACGCUGGCGGCGUGCUUAACACAUGCAAGUCGAACGAAGAUACUUAAAAUGAGAGCUUCGGCAGGAUUUUUAUUUAUCUUAGUGGCGGACGGGUGAGUAACGUGUGGGCAACCUGCCCUAUACUGGGGAAUAAUCACUGGAAACGGUGACUAAUACCGCAUGUCAUCACGAGAAGGCAUCUUUUUGUGAGAAAAGGAGUAAUUCGGUAUAGGAUGGGCCCGCAUCUGAUUAGCUAGUUGGUGAGAUAACAGCCCACCAAGGCGACGAUCAGUAGCCGACCUGAGAGGGUGAUCGGCCACAUUGGGACUGAGACACGGCCCAAACUCCUACGGGAGGCAGCAGUGGGGAAUAUUGCACAAUGGGGGAAACCCUGAUGCAGCAACGCCGCGUGAAGGAAGAAGGUUUUCGGAUCGUAAACUUCUAUCAACAGGGACGAAGAAAGUGACGGUACCUGAAUAAGAAGCCCCGGCUAACUACGUGCCAGCAGCCGCGGUAAUACGUAGGGGGCAAGCGUUAUCCGGAAUUACUGGGUGUAAAGGGAGCGUAGGCGGCACGCCAAGCCAGAUGUGAAAGCCCGAGGCUUAACCUCGUGGAUUGCAUUUGGAACUGGCGAGCUAGAGUACAGGAGAGGAAAGCGGAAUUCCUAGUGUAGCGGUGAAAUGCGUAGAUAUUAGGAAGAACACCAGUGGCGAAGGCGGCUUUCUGGACUGAAACUGACGCUGAGGCUCGAAAGCGUGGGGAGCAAACAGGAUUAGAUACCCUGGUAGUCCACGCCGUAAACGAUGAGUGCUAGGUGUCGGGGAGGAAUCCUCGGUGCCGCAGCUAACGCAAUAAGC
Molecule: ribosomal RNA, 861 nt
Filed under: uncultured bacterium
Lineage: Bacteria
Description: bacterial SSU rRNA
Rfam family: Bacterial small subunit ribosomal RNA
Source: RNAcentral